CCUACGUGUGGCAGCAGUAGGGAAUCUUCCACAAUGGACGAAAGUCUGAUGGAGCAACGCCGCGUGAGUGAAGAAGGGUUUCGGCUCGUAAAGCUCUGUUGGUAGUGAAGAAAGAUAGAGGUAGUAACUUGCCUUUAUUUUACGGUAAUUACUUAGAAAGUCACGGCUAACUACGUGCCAGCAGCCGCGGUAAUACGUAGGUGGCAAGCGUUGUCCGGAUUUGUUGGGCGUAAGGCGAGUGCAGGCGGUUCAAUAAGUCUGAUGUGAAAGCCUUCGGCUCAACCGGAGAAUUGCAUCCGAAACUGUUGGACUUGAGUGCAGAAGAGGAGAGUGGAACUCCAUGUGUAGCGGUGAAAUGCGUAGAUAUAUGGAAGAACACCAGUGGCGAAGGCGGCUCUCGGGUCUGCAACUGACGCUGAGGCUCGAAAGCAUGGGUAGCGAACAGGAUUAGAUACCCGAGUAGUC
This 465-nucleotide ribosomal RNA is filed under the name uncultured bacterium. Its description in RNAcentral is "partial 16S ribosomal RNA". It matches the Rfam family "Bacterial small subunit ribosomal RNA", at positions 338 to 795 of the family's 1533-position model. The record is from RNAcentral.